CCUUGUCACAUGAGCUUUCUUCCUUGCCUUCUUCAUCCUCCAUCUUCAUCCUAAUCUAGAUAAUAAACAAGAAUGGAAACUAACACUAGGAAGAUGAAAGAGCUACAUUUCUGCAGACUUCAAGCUUCUCCCGUAGCUCACUCUCUUACUCUGCUAUGAACUCCCUUGCUUUUGCUCUCUACUCCCUUCUUUCUUUUGCAAUGAAUUUGGCUCUUUUAUGAUGAAAGGUGGUCAAGAAAUGAGGAUUACAUCUCCUUUUACAGCUGGGAAUGUUUCUCACAUGUAUAGCAUCCCAUGUGAGUUGGUGGAGGUGAAAUUGAGUUUUCCGCGUAAAAAGCAGACUUCUCUGACCACAAUCCGGCCAGGAAUCCGGCCACAAAUCCGGCCAAAUUCCGGCCGGAUUGCUACAGUAAAUCUGGGCUGCUACAGUGAUCCGAGCUGCUACAGUGCCUCGGAUCCGUAUGGAUCCGAGCUCGGAUCCACUAACCCAGAAACAGCCGAGGGUUCGGAUGAAUAGUGGAUCCGAGUGUGGAUCACUUGCUCUGUUUUUGGCUCAACUUCAACCGAUCUUUUCUUGAUGUUAGAGGCUGAACCAGCUCAUGUCUAAAACACGAAAGUUGUAGCCUUUUGACUUAUCUUUCCAAUGCAUCAAGAAUCACCUCAUUUGGAUCUGUGUAGGCUGAGAUAUGACGAAAUACCCUUGCCUGCUCCAUGCCUUGUUCCAGUUUCGACCAAUAGCAAUUGACUCUGUACUUCGGCUUUUUGACCUGGAAAACCUUCAAACUGGAUUCAGAUGUCUUCACCAAAGUUGUAGAUCUAUCUCUUAUCUUCAAAUGGGUUCAAGAAUCAUCCCAAUCCGAUCAUUGUAGCUCAAGUUAUAGCCGAAAUACGAAAAUGUGUCAAAACUGUCAAAAUACACAAAAUC
Molecule: long non-coding RNA, 925 nt
Filed under: Coffea arabica (coffee)
Lineage: Eukaryota; Viridiplantae; Streptophyta; Magnoliopsida; Gentianales; Rubiaceae
Description: long non-coding RNA (CARA_LNC000077)
Source: RNAcentral